Molecule: unclassified non-coding RNA, 350 nt
Filed under: plant metagenome
Description: partial contains 5.8S ribosomal RNA, internal transcribed spacer 2, and large subunit ribosomal RNA
Rfam family: 5.8S ribosomal RNA (bases 1-105)
Source: RNAcentral
GAAAUGCGAUAAGUAAUGUGAAUUGCAGAAUUCAGUGAAUCAUCGAAUCUUUGAACGCACCUUGCGCUCCUUGGUAUUCCGAGGAGCAUGCCUGUUUGAGUGUCAUGGAAUUCUCAACUCUAUUUGCUUUUGUGAAUAGAGCUUGGAUUUGGUGGUUUAUUGCUGGUACUUGUGAUCGGCUCCUCUUGAAUGCAUUAGCUCGAACCUUUGCGGAUCAGCUAUCGGUGUGAUAAUUGUCUACGCCGUUGCAGUGAAGCAUAUCAAUGGGCUCGGCUUCCAAUCGUCCUUUACUGGACAAUGACUGUGACCUUUGACCUCAAAUCAGGUAGGAUUACCCGCUGAACUUAAGC